RNAcentral lists this ribosomal RNA (253 nucleotides) under uncultured bacterium. Its description in RNAcentral is "partial 16S ribosomal RNA". It matches the Rfam family "Bacterial small subunit ribosomal RNA", at positions 524 to 776 of the family's 1533-position model. The record is from RNAcentral.
GACGAACCGAGCGAACGUUGUUCGGAAUCACUGGGCUUAAAGGGCGCGUAGGCGGUCUCCCAAGUCCGGGGUGAAAUCUUUCGGCCUAACCGGAAAAGGGCCUUGGAUACUGGGGGACUCGAGGGGGGUAGGGGCAAGCGGAACUUCCGGUGGAGCGGUGAAAUGCGUUGAUAUCGGAAGGAACGCCGGCGGCGAAAGCGGCUUGCUGGACCCCAUCUGACGCUGAGGCGCGAAAGCCAGGGGAGCGAACGGG